This 1016-nucleotide ribosomal RNA is filed under the name human gut metagenome. Its description in RNAcentral is "bacterial LSU rRNA". It matches the Rfam family "Bacterial large subunit ribosomal RNA", at positions 1914 to 2925 of the family's 2925-position model. The record is from RNAcentral.
GAAGCCCCAGUGAACGGCGGCCGUAACUAUAACGGUCCUAAGGUAGCGAAAUUCCUUGUCAGGUAAGUUCUGACCCGCAUGAAAGGCGUAAUGAUUUGGGCACUGUCUCAACAGCCCGCCCGGCGAAAUUGUAGUACCGGUGAAGAUGCCGGUUACCCGCGACAAGACGGAAAGACCCCAUGGAGCUUUACUGUAGCCUAAUAUUGGGUUUCGAUGUUGCAUGCACAGGAUAGAUGGGACACAGGGAAACAAGUGCUUUGGCAUUUGUGGAGUGGCCGUUGGGAUACCAUCCUUGCGAUAUUGGAAUUCUAACCUGCGCCUUUGAAUCAAGGCGGGGGACAUUGUUAGGUGGGCAGUUUGACUGGGGCGGUCGCCUCCUAAAGAGUAACGGAGGCGUUCAAAGGUUCGCUCAGCUUGAACGGAAAUCAAGCAAAAGAGUGCAAACGCAGAAGCGAGCCUAACUGCGAGACUGACGGGUCGAGCAGUAACGAAAGUUGGAGUUAGUGAUCCGGUGGUAUGUGAGUGGAAAUGCCAUCGCUCAACGGAUAAAAGUUACCCUGGGGAUAACAGGCUGAUCUCCCCCAAGAGUCCACAUCGACGGGGAGGUUUGGCACCUCGAUGUCGGCUCAUCGCAUCCUGGGGCUGUAUUCGGUCCCAAGGGUUUGGCUGUUCGCCAAUUAAAGCGGUACGCGAGCUGGGUUCAGAACGUCGUGAGACAGUUCGGUCCCUAUCUGUCGUGGGCGCAGGAUAUUUGAUGGGAGCUGUUCCUAGUACGAGAGGACCGGAGCGGACGUACCUCUGGCGCACCAGUUGUUCUGCCAAGGGCAUAGCUGGGCAACUAUGUACGGAUCGGAUAAACGCUGAAAGCAUCUAAGCGUGAAGCCGACCCAAAGAUAAGAUAUCCCAUUGUUUCAAACAAGUAAGACCCCUUGAAGACUACAAGGUUGAUAGGCACGAUGUGUAAGUGGAGUGAUCCAUUCAGCAAGCGUGUACUAAUAGGUCGAGGGCUUGACCAC